Molecule: long non-coding RNA, 2590 nt
Filed under: Homo sapiens (human)
Lineage: Eukaryota; Metazoa; Chordata; Mammalia; Primates; Hominidae
Description: CCDC28A antisense RNA 1, transcript variant 3 (CCDC28A-AS1)
Source: RNAcentral
AGUGUCGCUCUUGGCUCCGCCCUCGGCAUUUCAUUGCUUCCCCUGUCCUUCCUUUAGCUGUAACUCCGGCGGGCGUGUUGGGUGUGUCGUUUUAGGCUCUGUGACCCAGGAGCAAGACGCAAUAAGCGGGUGCAGUGGAGGUAGAAACGGGAAAUGCAGUACCCUUUCCGGAAGCUACUCCGCCCCUCGACAGAGUCUUGCUGUGUCGCCCAAGCUAGAGUGCAGUGGUGUCAUCUGGGCUCAUUGCAACCUCCGCUUCCUGGAUUCAAGCAAUUCUCAUGCCACAGCCUCCCAAGUAGCUGGGACUACAGGAACCUGUGGUGAUAAGGAAGAUGUGAGCCUGGAGAUACAGAAGCUACCACAUGAAUGUUAAAAAUGAAGCUGACGCAGCAAAAGGCAGUGCCAAGGAACUAAAAGAAAACAAAUUUUGAUUACAUUUUUGGAGUUCCUGGGUCAAGCAGUUCAUGACACUGAGGCUUUUCCGCUACAUGAAUAAGUACUUUUUCUUUCCCGUUAAAGUGGGUUUGUGCUGGCUUCUCUAUCACUCACAACAACUGGAUACUAACUGAGGCAACACUUCCUACCUCUUACACACAUUACACCCAUAAAACAGAAACAACAUCUAAAAUUAGAUUUCAACACAGCUACCAAGCAGAAAAGUUCAAAUCAACAAGUUAUGGAUAAUGUUUUAUUGAAACUACAUUUCUCCUCCCAAUGUGAGUAUGGUGUUGGCCAACAUGUUGCGUGUUGAUUCUGCUUGCCUUUGUGUCCUACAUAUAGGAUGUGUACUGUGUAAUGAAUCGUUUCUUCAUUAUUUUUCUCAGCUUGCAUGGUUGCCUCCCUCACCUCCAUUCACAGAGCUCACUGUGACAGCAUUCAACCUUGUCUUGGUACAAGUGUGUAAUUUACAUAAUAGUCGCCUCUGUACUUUCCUCAGUAACUUAAACAAAGAAGACCAUCACUCACUGUGCUUGCCUUUCAAAUUAGAUUUGAUAUCAAAUUAAAGUCUCAUUUUAUUAAGUUUCUGAAGCCAAAGUCUUUGACCUAUGAAAGUAUGUUUCAAUUAUGAAUGGAAAAGAGAAGCUUUGUGUUAUUAACAGGAAAAGAAUUCAAGUGUGAUGGUUGUGUCAAUGCCAUUGGGACAUGCCAGUAGUCAGUAACUCAACAGACAAGCCUGCUAGACCUGCUUUACUCAUUUGUGGCGCUGUUUCUUCACUUUCUACUGACUCCCACCUGUGUUUCAUAAUUCUCUACAUUGAUAUGGUUUAUUACUUCUCAUAGGGAUCUUAAAUUAAUUGUGCAACUCGUUAGAGUCUCUUUAUGUAAAAUACAUAGUCUUCAUACUAUUAGAAUGUUACAAUCUGGACCUACCAAUGUGAACAAGUGAAAAAAUGUGCUGUUUAUUUUAACCAGCAGUGGUGUUUUAGUUAGCUAUUUAUCUCCUUAUCUCCCAAAUCUCAAAAACACUCAGUAGUUUACAACAUGAAGCUUUUUUUUUUUUUUUUUUGCUUACAGGUCUGUGGGUCAGCUGGGAUAACUCUGCUUCAGACUGUGGGUCAUCUUGGCUUGGCAGACUUUAGGUUAAACAUAAGACUGUGUGUCUCAUUCUGGGGCCCAGACUGAAGGGAUAGCAGCUAGCUGGUGCAUGCUGUCUUCGUGGCAAUCACAGGGGUGCGAGAGGCGGAGCUGAAGGACGCAAGCACAUUUAAGUCUUUUGCGUGUGUCAUGUUCAAUGACAUUCCAUGUCCAGAGCCAGCUACAUGGGUGGAUCAUGAAUAGAGGGGAGAAAUACACCCCACCCACUUCAGUGAGCUUUAGGUUUACAUGACUGAGGGAUGGAGGGAAGAAUUUUGGACAAUAAUCUCAUCUAGUACAUAUGGCUUCAAUUUGUAUGAACCCUAUCUCUACUCCUCCAACCUUCUGAUCUCAACUGCUAUUGCUAAUAUGACCUGUGGGAGCGAGAGGACUUUCUAUAACUAGGCUGAAUUUUAAAGGAAGAGAAUGACUUCCAGAUAGCUUAUUGGCUAUCAAUCUAGGAGCUCUUACAGCUGAGAAACAUUUUGACCCAACCCUCUGGCUUCUUUGUUGAUUUAUUUUUCUGAUAAAAUUCAUUUUUUUAAAUAUUAAGCUUUAAGAAGUACAUGUGUUUUAAUGCAGUAAAAAAUAAAGCAUAUAUGAUUCAAUCAUUUGUAAAUAUACAGUAUAACUAGUAAGAAAUAAGGGGUCUCAUUCACACCCAGAUUUAUAGGAGCCAGCACUAUGUGCUCGGUAUAUAAUAGAAGCUCAGUUAGUAUUUGUUGAUUGAAGUACCUUUUCUUAUUUACUAAUGAUUAUUAUUAACAGAUAAUAAUUUGGGCCUGAAAUAGACAUUUCCUUUUUUAAUAUAAUUAUAUAUAUGUGCAUAUAUAUAUCAUCAAUAUCCUCUGACUUUAUUAGUGACUGUUAACCACGUCGAAAAAAGUAAAGGUGUUUAUUAUGCAUGCAUAGAAAAAUGAUAUGUUUGUGUUCGCUCUUUUUAGGACCAAGAAAAAAUUAUUGGUUGCUGUUUUCUCAGUUUUGGUUUUUUUUAAAAUAAAUUUUACUGUGUGUA